Sebastes umbrosus (honeycomb rockfish) is the source of this 1698-nucleotide RNA transcript. It is a transcript of the gene named sodium channel, voltage-gated, type II, beta, with no coding region annotated. The record is from RefSeq and is a predicted model, not a curated record. NCBI's taxonomy places the organism in Eukaryota, Metazoa, Chordata, Actinopteri, Perciformes, Sebastidae. The transcript has 6 exons.
CAUCAUAAGGCUACAGACACUGCCAGCCAUGUCCUGCCUCUAAAAACCACAAAGAUACUGUUUUUUAGCAUUUUAACUAGAUCAUUACUGCUUGCUUUUUUUUUAACGAAUUGAUAUUUUUUUCUAGACAUUAAAAGCAUCGUUUUUUUUUAAUAAUAAGAAGGAGAGAACAUGUCUUCCCCCGUGCAGCAGAGGAGCUCUGGUGUUCAGCUGGUGAGCGCGGCGCUGCUGCUGCUGCUGCUCUCGCUCUCCGGUUGUUCGAGCAUGGAUGUGCUCGUGCCCAAUAGCAUCAAUGCACUGAAUGGAACAACUGUCAAAAUCCCCUGCACAUUUAAUUCCUGCUAUAAGAUGGACCCUGCCAAGUUUGUCAUGAACUGGACCUACCAAGAAUCACUUAAUGACACAGAAGAGAUGUUUAUGAUAUACCAUAAGAAAAAAGGAAUGAUAGCUCUGCGUUCGGACCGGUUUGGAGAGAGGGUCAUGUUUGGCGGGAACCUGGAUAAGAAUGACCUGUCAAUCACCCUGUCAGAUGUUCAAAUCGAGGAUGAGGGGAUUUACAACUGCUAUGUGAUAAACCCCCCGGACCGCAUCCACGGAAGAGGUGCCAUAACGCUCAAUGUUGUCACCGAACUGCCCCCUCCGAGGGAUUCGACCAUCGCAGUGGCGAUCGGGGCGUCAGUAGGCGGAGCAUUAGCUCUGCUGAUCCUUUCCAUGGUAGUUUUGAAAUGUCUUCGUCGACACCGGAAACAGGAACUGAUUUCAGAGGAGAAGAUGGAGGAGGAGGGCAAACUGGAUGCUGAAGGUGUUGCGGAGGAGGGAACCAAACAACCAUAGCUGAGUCAUCCGAUUGAACCAGCGGCCUGUGGAUCUCUCAACACCCAACACCUCCUCUGACAUGUGCACCCUCUUCCUGAAGAUCUAUAGUAACCACUGCUUGAAUCAUCUUCAACUGAUACUUCCAUCCCUUCUGCAUGUGUGUGUGAGUGUGAGUGUGUGUGUGUAUGUGUACUGAAUGUGUCUAUGUGUGCGUGCGUAUUUCUAUAUGUCUGUGUGAGAUGUGUCUUUUUUCCUUGAAAUAAGUCAGGGAACACUUUUCUGCAACCUAACUACUAAACAUAUAUUACUUUAUUCAUAGCUAUACAAGUCAACAUCAGUGGCAUUAGAAGUCCAUCUCAUAAUAGUUAUUGUCAUUUUCAUCACACACUAUAGGACAGGAUAGGGCUGGGCGGUAUGAACUCAAAUUUGUACCACAGCAUAGUUUGAAGAUGGAGAGAGUAACAAUAUCACAGCAUCACAAUAUCUAAUUUUAUUGGGAAGUUAAAUCUAUUAUUAAUGAACUAUUAAUAACAUUAACAGUGGUUGUGGAGGCAGUUGUGAUACUGCAAAUCCAGUGUCUGUCAACAUUGCCUUAAAGCCAUGUCGGUCAACUGCCUGUAUAUUGGGCCCCGUGUCUUAACAAACAUGCACAUUUAGAGCAUUCUGAAACAUUCCUCAUACCUUUGGAGCUUUUUCUUGCAAAAACUAUUGCCCUGCAUAGUCGUCAGAAUCUAGUCCUGGUACUCAGCUCAAACAACCCGAUCUAACAUGUAUAAAUAGCACAACAUUACAAGGACAUUCCGCUUGUCAUGGCGCAUUUUAGGCUUUUCGCAUGUCUUCUGUACACCACGCAACAAAACUACGGUAACGUCCGCGGUUAAG